Non-coding RNA from Oryza brachyantha (malo sina), 137 nucleotides. NCBI's taxonomy places the organism in Eukaryota, Viridiplantae, Streptophyta, Magnoliopsida, Poales, Poaceae. The record is from Rfam.
GUGUAAAAGAGGAAGAAAGAGAGGUUCUAAGAAUAAUGGGACUGGGAACAUACGAGAAAGCAUGCGCUCUCUCUUUGUGUUUUCUCGAUGCCUCCCAUUCCUAUCAUUCUUAGUUCUCCUUCCUCUUUCUAUUUCAC